AAAGGAAUAGACGGGGGCCCGCACAAGCGGAGGAACAUGUGGUUUAAUUCGAUGAUACGCGAGGAACCUUACCUGGGCUUAAAUGUAGAUUGAUUGAACCGGAAACGGUUUUUUCCUUCGGGACAAUUUACAAGGUGCUGCAUGGUUGUCGUCAGCUCGUGCCGUGAGGUGUCGGGUUAAGUCCCAUAACGAGCGCAACCCUUGCCGUUAGUUGCCAUCAGGUAAAGCUGGGGACUCUGACGGGACUGCCACCGUAAGGUGCGAGGAAGGUGGGGAUGACGUCAAAUCAGCACGGCCCUUAUGUCCAGGGCUACACACGUGUUACAAUGGCCGGUACAAAGGGCAGCUACCCCGCGAGGGGAUGCGAAUCUUCAAAGCCGGUCUCAGUUCGGAUUGGAGUCUGCAAUUCGACUCCAUGAAGCAGGAUUCGCUAGUAAUCGCGCAUCAGCCACGGCGCGGUGAAUACGUUCCCGGGCCUUGUACACACCGCCCGU
Molecule: ribosomal RNA, 494 nt
Filed under: uncultured bacterium
Lineage: Bacteria
Description: bacterial SSU rRNA
Rfam family: Bacterial small subunit ribosomal RNA
Source: RNAcentral